Molecule: ribosomal RNA, 1827 nt
Filed under: Triticum aestivum (bread wheat)
Lineage: Eukaryota; Viridiplantae; Streptophyta; Magnoliopsida; Poales; Poaceae
Description: partial small subunit ribosomal RNA
Source: RNAcentral
AUGCCGCUCCCCACGCUUCUCCUUCUUCCCCUUUCCACCCCUCCGCUGCCCCGUGCUCGCCCUUGCCAUGGCGGCCGCCUCACCCUCAAGCCGCUGGGGUGCCGCCGCGGAACCGUGCGCGUCAGGGCGUCGUCGGAGACCACCGAGCCACCGCCGCCGUCCAGAACCCAGAUGAUCAUGGACAAGAUUUCCUCAGCCGGCGACGAGGUCGGCGGCGCCGGCGGGGCCUACUCAUACGACGCGCUGAAAAGGCUGGACCAAAUCUGCUCCAGCAUAUGCUCAGCUCCCCAACAAGUCUCCCCCUCCUCCUCCUCCAAAGCCCCUCCCCAAAUCGUCACCCGGGUCCAGGGCCCAGCACCGGCGGCGGAUGCCGAUCUCGGCGCAGAGACCUUCGACGUGCUGGUGUGCGGCGGCACGCUGGGCAUCUUCAUCGCCACGGCGCUCAGCUACAGAGGCCUCCGGGUGGGGAUCAUCGAGAGGAACGCCGUCAAAGGGCGGGAGCAGGAGUGGAACAUCUCGCGCAAGGAGCUCAUGGAGAUCGUGCAGGUCGGCAUCCUCUCCGAGGCCGAGGCCGAGCAGGUGGUCACCAGCGAUUUCAACCCCAACCGGUGCGGCUUCGAGGGUAAAGGCGAGAUAUGGGUGGAGGACAUCCUCCACCUCGGCAUAUCGCCGGCGAAGCUCGUCGAGAUCAUGAAAGCGCGCUUCAUUUCCUCAGGAGGAGCCAUCUUCGAGGGGAAGAGCGUGUCGAGCAUUUCGGUUCACGACGAUCUUGCGGUGCUGCAACUGGGCGACGGUGACCGUCUGCGCUGCCGGCUCGUCGUCGAUGCCAUGGGCAACUUCUCCCCGAUCGUGCGGCAGAUCCGCUCCGGCAGGAGACCGGACGGACUGUGCCUCGUCGUCGGUGCCUGUGCCCGUGGGUUUGAGAAGAACACAACCAGUGAUGUUAUCUUCAGUAGCUCGUCAGUGAAGAGUGUUGGAGAUUCAGGGGGAUCAGUGCAGCUCUUCUGGGAGGCAUUUCCUGCCGGCUCCGGCCCGACUGAUCGCACCACAUACAUGUUCACAUAUGUCGAUCCGCAGUUCGGGUGCCCAAAGCUGGAGGAACUCUUGGAGAUGUUCUGGGAUCUCAUGCCUGGUUACCAAGAUACAGUUCUUGACAACUUGGACAUAAGGAGAGUCAUAUAUGGGAUCUUCCCGACUUACCGGGACAGCCCGCUGCCGGCCGCGUUCGACCGGAUCUUGCAGGUCGGCGACGCCAGUGGCAUCCAGUCACCCGUUUCAUUCGGAGGGUUUGGGAGCCUGACAAGGCAUCUCGGCCGACUGUCCAACGGUGUAUACGAAGCGGUUUCAGGAGAUUUCCUGGACACACAAAGUCUGAAGCUGUUAAACCCUUACAUGCCGAAUCUAAGCGCGUCAUGGCUGUUCCAAAGAGCAAUGUCGACGAGGCCCGGGACCGACAUUUUGCCGACAUUUAUCAACGAGCUUCUCUUUGCGAAUUUCCAGUCGAUGCAGAAGCUUGGGGACUCGGUGCUUCGGCCGUUUCUCCAGGAUGUGAUACAGUUUGGACCUUUGGUGAAAACGUUGGGCCUGGUCAUGAUCAGCCGGCCGCAGAUCUUGCCUGAAAUAUUCAAGCAGGUUGGAGUUGGGGUCAUCCUCAACUGGUCAGGCCACUUUGUGAUGCUUGGUCACUACACCUUCCUUUCCAGCUUUGUCGGUCCGGCUGUUAGGCCUUGGGUUAAAUCUUUGGCGCCGAGGGAUAGAUAUCGGUGGGAGCGGUAUCUUGAAGCAUGGGAAUAUGGAGCUGGCUUAGACUAUCGUCAAGAGGAAUGA